UACGUAGGGGGCUAGCGUUGUCCGGAAUCAUUGGGCGUAAAGAGCGUGUAGGCGGUCCGGUAAGUCCGCUGUGAAAGUCGGGGGCUCAACCCUCGAAUGCCGGUGGAUACUGUCGGGCUAGAGUGCGGAAGAGGCGAGUGGAAUUCCUGGUGUAGCGGUGAAAUGCGCAGAUAUCAGGAGGAACACCUAUUGCGAAGGCGGCUCGCUGGGCCGUUCCUGACGCUGAGACGCGAAAGCUAGGGGAGCGAACAGG
This 253-nucleotide ribosomal RNA is filed under the name uncultured bacterium. RNAcentral's name for it is "partial 16S ribosomal RNA". It matches the Rfam family "Bacterial small subunit ribosomal RNA", at positions 524 to 776 of the family's 1533-position model. The record is from RNAcentral.